GACGAACGCUGGCGGCGUGCUUAACACAUGCAAGUCGAACGGGUCUGCCCUGUUUUUUGCGGGGUGGGUCAGUGGCGAACGGGUGAGUGACACGUGAGUAACCUGCCCCUCACUUCUGGAUAACCGCUUGAAAGGGUGGCUAAUACGGGGUGUUCUGGCUGUGCCGCAUGGUGUGGCUGGGAAAGAUUCACUUUUGUGGUGUUUUGGUGGGGGAUGGGCUCGCGGCCUAUCAGCUUGUUGGUGGGGUGAUGGCCUGCCAAGGCUUUGACGGGUAGCCGGCCUGAGAGGGUGGGCGGUCACACUGGGACUGAGAUACGGCCCAGACUCCUGCGGGAGGCAGCAGUGGGGGGUAUUGCACAAUGGGCGGAAGCCUGAUGCAGCGGCGUCGCGUGAGGGAUGGAGGCCUUCGGGUUGUGAACCUCUUUCGCCGGUGAAGAAGGUCCUGCUCUUUGUGGUGGGGUUGACGGUAGCCGGGUUAUGAAGCGCCGGCUAACUACGUG
RNAcentral lists this ribosomal RNA (500 nucleotides) under uncultured bacterium. RNAcentral describes it as "partial 16S ribosomal RNA". It matches the Rfam family "Bacterial small subunit ribosomal RNA", at positions 28 to 507 of the family's 1533-position model. The record is from RNAcentral.